This 1270-nucleotide ribosomal RNA is filed under the name Salmonella enterica. Its description in RNAcentral is "partial 23S ribosomal RNA". It matches the Rfam family "Bacterial large subunit ribosomal RNA", at positions 1037 to 2290 of the family's 2925-position model. Lineage: Bacteria; Pseudomonadati; Pseudomonadota; Gammaproteobacteria; Enterobacterales; Enterobacteriaceae. The record is from RNAcentral.
AGCUAAGGUCCCAAAGUCAUGGUUAAGUGGGAAACGAUGUGGGAAGGCCCAGACAGCCAGGAUGUUGGCUUAGAAGCAGCCAUCAUUUAAAGAAAGCGUAAUAGCUCACUGGUCGAGUCGGCCUGCGCGGAAGAUGUAACGGGGCUAAACCAUGCACCGAAGCUGCGGCAGCGACACUGUGUGUUGUUGGGUAGGGGAGCGUUCUGUAAGCCUGUGAAGGUGUGUCGUGAGGCAUGCUGGAGGUAUCAGAAGUGCGAAUGCUGACAUAAGUAACGAUAAAGCGGGUGAAAAGCCCGCUCGCCGGAAGACCAAGGGUUCCUGUCCAACGUUAAUCGGGGCAGGGUGAGUCGACCCCUAAGGCGAGGCCGAAAGGCGUAGUCGAUGGGAAACGGGUUAAUAUUCCCGUACUUGGUGUUACUGCGAAGGGGGGACGGAGAAGGCUAUGUUGGCCGGGCGACGGUUGUCCCGGUUUAAGCGUGUAGGUGUGUGUUCCAGGUAAAUCCGGUUCACUUUAACACUGAGGCGUGACGACGAGGCACUACGGUGCUGAAGCAACAAAUGCCCUGCUUCCAGGAAAAGCCUCUAAGCAUCAGGUAACAUCAAAUCGUACCCCAAACCGACACAGGUGGUCAGGUAGAGAAUACCAAGGCGCUUGAGAGAACUCGGGUGAAGGAACUAGGCAAAAUGGUGCCGUAACUUCGGGAGAAGGCACGCUGACACGUAGGUGAAGUGAUUUACUCAUGGAGCUGAAGUCAGUCGAAGAUACCAGCUGGCUGCAACUGUUUAUUAAAAACACAGCACUGUGCAAACACGAAAGUGGACGUAUACGGUGUGACGCCUGCCCGGUGCCGGAAGGUUAAUUGAUGGGGUCAGCGCAAGCGAAGCUCCUGAUCGAAGCCCCGGUAAACGGCGGCCGUAACUAUAACGGUCCUAAGGUAGCGAAAUUCCUUGUCGGGUAAGUUCCGACCUGCACGAAUGGCGUAAUGAUGGCCAGGCUGUCUCCACCCGAGACUCAGUGAAAUUGAACUCGCUGUGAAGAUGCAGUGUACCCGCGGCAAGACGGAAAGACCCCGUGAACCUUUACUAUAGCUUGACACUGAACAUUGAGCCUUGAUGUGUAGGAUAGGUGGGAGGCUUUGAAGUGUGGACGCCAGUCUGCAUGGAGCCGACCUUGAAAUACCACCCUUUAAUGUUUGAUGUUCUAACGUGGACCCGUUACCCGGGUUGCGGACAGUGUCUGGUGGGUAGUUUGACUGGGGCGGUCUCCUCC